This 398-nucleotide ribosomal RNA is filed under the name uncultured bacterium. RNAcentral's name for it is "bacterial SSU rRNA". It matches the Rfam family "Bacterial small subunit ribosomal RNA", at positions 357 to 772 of the family's 1533-position model. The record is from RNAcentral.
AGGAAUAUUGCACAAUGGGCGCAAGCCUGACGCAGCCAUGCCGCGUGAAUGAUGAAGGUCUUAGGAUUGUAAAAUUCUUUCACCGGGGACGAUAAUGACGGUACCCGGAGAAGAAGCCCCGGCUAACUUCGUGCCAGCAGCCGCGGUAAUACGAAGGGGGCUAGCGUUGCUCGGAAUUACUGGGCGUAAAGGGCGCGUAGGCGGACAUUUAAGUCAGGGGUGAAAUCCCGGGGCUCAACCUCGGAACUGCCUUUGAUACUGGGUGUCUUGAGUGUGAGAGAGGUAUGUGGAACUCCGAGUGUAGAGGUGAAAUUCGUAGAUAUUCGGAAGAACACCAGUGGCGAAGGCGACAUACUGGCUCAUUACUGACGCUGAGGCGCGAAAGCGUGGGGAGCAAA